GUUUUGCUGCUCACCAAGAGCUGACUUCAGGGGAUGCGGACAAUUGCUUGCAUUUUACAAGCAAGAAAACAGAACCAAAAGAAUGAAGGCAUGUGUGGAUCUGGAGUUCAGAACCAGAGGGCCUGCCUGCCAGUUUGCGCUCUCCCUCCCAUCUCCUGCCUCGCCACCAUCACAGCGACUGAGACCCAGGGAUAAUAUGAACUCGUCAAAGGGAUGUGCUGCCAGAAGGGCUGCCUUGCUGGGCCCACUGGCUAUCCGACAGCAUGAGAGAG
This 272-nucleotide long non-coding RNA is filed under the name Homo sapiens (human). Its description in RNAcentral is "HSALNT0223225". Lineage: Eukaryota; Metazoa; Chordata; Mammalia; Primates; Hominidae. The record is from RNAcentral.